CUCGCGUCGCCCUUGAAAAUCCGAGUGAGGGAGUAUGAUUUUCGUGCCGCACCGUACCCACAUCCGCAGCAGUCUCCAAGGUGAACAGCCUCUAGAGUCUAGUCGAUGGACCAAUGUAGGUAAGGGAAGUCGGCAAAACGGAUCCGCAACCUUGGGAUAAGGAUUGGCUCUGAGGACUGAGUCGGUCGGGCUGGGGACCUGAAGCAGGAACGGCACUGUACCGAGACUGGGCGGGGCUCGCCGUUCACGCGGCGCGGCCAAGCCCGAACCAGCGUCGGGAUUUUUCUGUGGAAAGCCUCAGCUGCGCGGCGUCUGAGGGCUUCGUGCCCAAAGUGCUAUGCUUCGGCCGGCAAAAAACAGUCAACUCAGAACUGGCACGGACCGGGGGAAUCCGACUGUCUAAUUAAAACAAUGCAUUGCGAUGGCCGGUGUGGGCGCAAUGUGAUUUCUGCCCAGUGCUCUGAAUGUCAACGUGAAGAGAUUCAUCAAAGCGCGGGUAAACGGCGAGAGUAACUAUGACUCUCUUGUCAUAGUUACUCCCGCCAUCAAAGGUGCCAUCAAAGGACAGGAAGGUGAAGGUGGACACCUCGGAAAGUUUUACAAUGGGAUGCGUCGCGUUACCAACGAGCGACACCGCCUCGGUGUGGAAAUACCUGGGCCUCCAGU
This 666-nucleotide non-coding RNA is filed under the name Ixodes scapularis (black-legged tick). RNAcentral describes it as "Eukaryotic large subunit ribosomal RNA". It matches the Rfam family "Eukaryotic large subunit ribosomal RNA", at positions 1793 to 2303 of the family's 3401-position model. The record is from Rfam by way of RNAcentral. Lineage: Eukaryota; Metazoa; Arthropoda; Arachnida; Ixodida; Ixodidae.